AGGGUGUAAACGCUGCGGGCUUGGUGUUGGGGGUCCUUAGUGGGCGCCCAGUGCCGGAGAGAAGUUGUUAAGCCUGCUGCUUGGGGAGUAUGUCCGCAAGGAUGAAACUUAAAGGAAUUGGCGGGGGAGCACCGCAACGGGAGGAGCGUGCGGUUCAAUUGGAUUCAACGCCGAAAAACUCACCGGAUAAGACAGCUGAAUGAUAGUCGGGACGAAGACUCUACUUGACUAGCUGAGAGGUGGUGCAUGGCGUAGUCGUGU
Molecule: ribosomal RNA, 261 nt
Filed under: uncultured archaeon
Lineage: Archaea
Description: partial 16S ribosomal RNA
Rfam family: Archaeal small subunit ribosomal RNA
Source: RNAcentral